GCUGUUUUGUUGUUCAAAAUGGGUUUACCAAAGUCUUCAGGUCAGAAAAAGUAGUGUAACAUAUAGAAAAGAUUUUAAAACAAUGUAUAAUAAAUAAAAA
Molecule: long non-coding RNA, 100 nt
Organism: Thalassophryne amazonica
Lineage: Eukaryota; Metazoa; Chordata; Actinopteri; Batrachoidiformes; Batrachoididae
Exons: 3
Source: RefSeq, a predicted model, not a curated record